RNAcentral lists this ribosomal RNA (443 nucleotides) under uncultured bacterium. RNAcentral's name for it is "partial 16S ribosomal RNA". It matches the Rfam family "Bacterial small subunit ribosomal RNA", at positions 338 to 795 of the family's 1533-position model. The record is from RNAcentral.
CCUACGGGAGGCAGCAGUGGGGAAUAUUGGGCAAUGGGCGCAAGCCUGACCCAGCAACGCCGCGUGAAGGAAGAAGGCUUUCGGGUUGUAAACCUCUUUUCUCAGGGACGAAGAAAGUGACGGUACCUGAGGAAUAAGCCACGGCUAAAUACGUGCCAGCAGCCGCGGGAAUACGUAGGUGGCAAGCGUUAUCCGGAUUUAAUGGGUGUAAAGGGCGUGUAGGCGGGAAAGCAAGUCAGAUGUGAAAACCACGGGCUCAACCUGUGGCCUGCAUUUGAAACUGUUUUUCUUGAGUACUGGAGAGGCAGGCGGAAUUCCUAGUGUAGCGGUGAAAUGCGUAGAUAUUAGGAGGAACACCAGUGGCGAAGGCGGUCUGCUGGACAGCAACUGACGCUGAGGCGCGAAAGCGUGGGGAGCGAACAGGAUUAGAUACCCCUGUAGUC